UUUGUUCUCCCUCCGUCCGGAUAUACUUAUCAUCAAAAUGGAUAAAAGGAGAUGUAUCUAGACAUAUUUUAGUUCUAGAUACAUAUAUUUUUAUCUAUUUUGAUGAAAAGUAUUUUCGGAUGGAGGGAGUAAUAA
Molecule: non-coding RNA, 135 nt
Organism: Triticum aestivum (bread wheat)
Lineage: Eukaryota; Viridiplantae; Streptophyta; Magnoliopsida; Poales; Poaceae
Source: Rfam